GACGAAGUGGCUGAGUGGUUAAGACAAUGGACUGCUAAUUCAUUGUGUUCUACAUGUGUGGGUUUGAAUCCCAUCCUCGUCA
Molecule: transfer RNA, 82 nt
Filed under: Lepisosteus oculatus (spotted gar)
Lineage: Eukaryota; Metazoa; Chordata; Actinopteri; Semionotiformes; Lepisosteidae
Rfam family: tRNA
About the family: Transfer RNA (tRNA) molecules are approximately 80 nucleotides in length. Their secondary structure includes four short double-helical elements and three loops (D, anti-codon, and T loops).
Source: Rfam by way of RNAcentral